This 624-nucleotide ribosomal RNA is filed under the name Variovorax paradoxus. RNAcentral describes it as "bacterial SSU rRNA". It matches the Rfam family "Bacterial small subunit ribosomal RNA", at positions 127 to 744 of the family's 1533-position model. Lineage: Bacteria; Pseudomonadati; Pseudomonadota; Betaproteobacteria; Burkholderiales; Comamonadaceae. The record is from RNAcentral.
UGCCCAAUCGUGGGGGAUAACGCAGCGAAAGCUGUGCUAAUACCGCAUACGAUCUACGGAUGAAAGCAGGGGAUCGCAAGACCUUGCGCGAAUGGAGCGGCCGAUGGCAGAUUAGGUAGUUGGUGAGGUAAAGGCUCACCAAGCCUUCGAUCUGUAGCUGGUCUGAGAGGACGACCAGCCACACUGGGACUGAGACACGGCCCAGACUCCUACGGGAGGCAGCAGUGGGGAAUUUUGGACAAUGGGCGCAAGCCUGAUCCAGCCAUGCCGCGUGCAGGAUGAAGGCCUUCGGGUUGUAAACUGCUUUUGUACGGAACGAAACGGCCUUUUCUAAUAAAGAGGGCUAAUGACGGUACCGUAAGAAUAAGCACCGGCUAACUACGUGCCAGCAGCCGCGGUAAUACGUAGGGUGCAAGCGUUAAUCGGAAUUACUGGGCGUAAAGCGUGCGCAGGCGGUAAUGUAAGACAGUUGUGAAAUCCCCGGGCUCAACCUGGGAACUGCAUCUGUGACUGCAUUGCUGGAGUACGGCAGAGGGGGAUGGAAUUCCGCGUGUAGCAGUGAAAUGCGUAGAUAUGCGGAGGAACACCGAUGGCGAAGGCAAUNCCCCUGGGUCCUGUACUGAC